UAGGGAAUCUUCCACAAUGGACGCAAGUCUGAUGGAGCAACGCCGCGUGAGUGAAGAAGGCUUUCGGGUCGUAAAACUCUGUUAUUGAAGAAGAACGUGUGUGACAGUAACUGGUCAUGCAGUGACGGUAUUCAAUCAGAAAGUCACGGCUAACUACGUGCCAGCAGCCGCGGUAAUACGUAGGUGGCGAGCGUUGUCCGGAUUUAUUGGGCGUAAAGCGAGUGCAGGCGGUCUUUUAAGUCUGAUGUGAAAGCCUUCGGCUUAACCGA
This 269-nucleotide ribosomal RNA is filed under the name uncultured bacterium. Its description in RNAcentral is "partial 16S ribosomal RNA". It matches the Rfam family "Bacterial small subunit ribosomal RNA", at positions 355 to 616 of the family's 1533-position model. The record is from RNAcentral.